GAUGAAGAACGUAGCGAAAUGCGAUAAGUAAUGCGAAUUGCAGAAUUCAGUGAGUCAUCGAAUCUUUGAACGCACAUUGCGCCCUGUGGUAUUCCGCAGGGCAUGCCUGUUCGAGCGUCAUUUCAACCCUCAAGCUCUGCUUGGAGUUGGGCCCUGCCCGCUGCGGCCGGCCCUAAAGACAGUGGCGGUGCCGCCUGGCCCUGAGCGUAGUACAUCUCUCGCUCCAGUGCCCGGUGGUAGCCUGCCAGAACCCCAACUCUCGUGGUUGACCUCGGAUCAGGUAGGGAUACCCGCUGAACUUAAGCAUAUCAAUAAGCGGAGGA
This 323-nucleotide unclassified non-coding RNA is filed under the name soil metagenome. RNAcentral describes it as "partial contains 5.8S ribosomal RNA, internal transcribed spacer 2, and large subunit ribosomal RNA". The stretch from base 1 to 120 matches the Rfam family "5.8S ribosomal RNA", at positions 35 to 154 of the family's 154-position model. The record is from RNAcentral.